UAAUCCCAUCUCAGAAAUACAUCCUUUAAAUUUUCUUCAAUGUGUAUUGUUAGGAAUAUUGUGUUUUGGGGUUCGUGUUCUAUGAUAGUUUUUCUUUUGCUCUCUGGAAAGAUAGUUUUUCUGCAUAUAAAAUUCUAGGUCCACAGUUAUUUUCUCUCAUCGCACUGAUAACAUUAUUUCAGUUACUUUAGGCUUCCACUAUUUUUUUAGAAGUCUUCUGUCCGUUUAAUUGCUGCUCCUUUGUCUUUUGUCUCUGCUUGCUUUAAACAACUUGUCUUUGUAUUUGGUUGCUACAAUUUCACAUGAUGUGAUUGAGGUGGAUUAUUUGUUAUUUAUCUCAUUUGUAAUUUGUUGGAGUUCUUGGAUCUGAGGUUUGCUAACUUUCAACAGUUCUAGAAAAUUAUCAGCUUUGACCUCUUCAAAUAGUUCCCCUUCUACAUUGUAUCUAUUAUAGUCUCAAAAUAGAUCUAAAUUAAUCUUUUUUAUUCUAACCACAAUGUCUCUUAAUCUCUCUUUACAUUUUUCAUCUCUUUGUCUGUUUGGGCUGAAUUUUAGAUAAUUUCUUCCAGUUUUCAAAUUCUCUAUCUAGUUGUAUCUAAUGUACUGUUUAACCCAAAUUAAAUCUAACCAAUUUUUGACAAUGCUAAUUAUUAUAUUUUUUAUUUCCAGAAGUUCUAUUUAAUUAUUUUUUAAUCUACUUGGUUGUUUUAAAAAUGUGUUUCUCCUAAAGGCUUAUAUUUUCAUGUCAUUUUUCACAUCUUAAAAAAUAUUAAACAUUUUUGUGUUAACCUAGUGUCUGAUAAUUCCAGGAGGUAGAACACAAUGCUGCUAUCUUGUUGUUUCUUCACACUUUUUUUUGUCUUUUUAGGGCUGCACCUGCAGCAUAUGGAGGUUCCCAGGCUAGGGUUGAAUAGGAGCUGCAGCUGCUGGCCUACACCAUAGCCACAGCAACACUUGAUCCUUAACCCACUGAGUGAGUCCAGGGAUUGAACCUGUGUUCUAGUUGGAUUUAUUUCCUCUGAGCCACAAUAGGAAUUCCAUGUUUCUUUACACUCUUAUUCAUGAAGCUUUAUUUCCUUGAGGGGUUUUGUAAAUUUUGAAAAGUGCAACUCAUUUUCUUUUAGAUUUUUUUUGUGGAAAUGCUUUGAGGCUUGAGUUGAAGCUCAGAUCAGAAAAAUCACACCAACCACAGAGUAAGAUUUUUUUGACCACUAAAAUAGUCUUAAACCUAGCUCUAAUCCUAUCUGAAGAAUGACUUCUACUGAGAAAUUCUCAAGGAAUUUUUUUCCCCUCUGCAUAGCACUGACAUCAUGGCAGGCAAGUUCCCAUGCCAGUCUCUUAGUUGUCAUAGAUUCUUGUUCUGAGACUGUAAUUCUUUGGGGUCCUGCUUUAUAGAUGUCUCCAUGGCACUCCUCACUAAAGGUGAGUCCUAGGUUUGCUCAGCCCCCUCCCACACCUUAAACAGCUGCAAAAUGGAGCUUUGUGGUUCCAGCUUCCACAGAUGUGCUUUAUUGCUUUCCAGGUUCCAGGUUUCAGUAAAGUUCUGGCCACCGUGUGCUUGUCAGCAAUAAUGUUUCAGCAGUGGUUGCGUUGGGUAUGGAAGCCAUUGGAAAGGUACAGAUCGGGGCCUUUCCCCACUCUGAGUCACCUUUACUUGCUUCCAUUUUCAAGUAGGGUUUAUGUGUCACUAAAAGAGACUUCUCUACUUAAAAACUGUUGAAAUAUUGAAAACCAUCAGUUGAGAUCAUUUUUGUUUGUUUGUUUUUUAGGGCUGCACCCAGGCUAAGGGUCAAAUCAGAGCUAUGGCUGCUGGCUAUGCCACAGCCACAGCAAUGCAGGAUCCAGGCCAUGUCUGUGACCUCCACCACAGCUCACAGCAACAUCAGAUCCUUAACCCACUAAGCAAGGCCAGGAAUCAAACCUCCAUCCUCAUGGAUACUAGUUGGGUUUGUUACCACUGAACCACAAUGGGAACUCCAGUUGAGAUCAUCUUAAAGGUCCUGUUCCUUUAAGAACAAUUACAAUUAUAUUUUGUAGUCCUGAGGAGUAUGCCAUAAUUGGAUGUCAAUGCAUCCAAUAUAUGAUUUUUAGCUUUGAGGUCUGUAGCUCUGAGAAAUGGUAAAGAUGUUGCUGUGCCUCCCAGAUGAGAAGUGGCCCCAGACCACUCUCAGCAGCUGCUGGUAGUGGAUUGUGUACAGCUAUGGGAGCACAGCACAGGAAAGCAUCAUGAUUACAUCACUGUUGGCUGUCAUGAGCCACAUAUGAGUCCUGGCACCUAUGUAGUGAUACUUGGUCAGCACAAUGUCCAGGGAAAACACCACCGCUGGGCUAACAUAGUGUCAUUAGCACUGUGUGGAUAAGUUGGGUGACCCUAGCCUGAGAAUAGCCCUGCACCCAGAUACCCAAAGUCCUGGACUCUGCACAGAUCCUCCAGAAGCAGUAGGUGAUAAGAGCUAUGCACAGAAACAGAAUGCACAAGAUGCAGGUGUGGGUGACAGCAACCUGGGGGCCCCUGCCUGGCUUGGUGCCCAGGCUCGGUGCCCAGGCUCAGCAGCAGGAUGCAUGAGGUCCCUCAUUCCACCAACCUGGCAUCCUCCUGCUUUUGACCCAAAUGAGAAAUGUGGGGAAAAAGCCAGCCACCAGCCAAAUGAGGGCCACCACCUUAUGGGCAGCCUCACAGGACAUGAAGGAGAAGUAAUGCAGAGCAUAAGCAACUGCCAGGUAGGUGUGUAGCAUGGUGGCCAUGAAGGACAGGAUGGUGCUGGUGUAGGCAGCGAAGAUGGCAUCUGAGAGAACAGCACAGGCGAUGUGGCCCAGGGCCCAGCUACUCAGGUUGCUGGAGGAGAUGAGCAUGUGAAAGACAACAUAGGCCAGAUCAGAGAGUAGGAUGUUAGCCAGCAACAGAUAGUGAGGGUCCUGCUGUAGCCUCUGGCUCCAUAGGAUGUUCACCAGCAGCAGGGGGCUCAGUGCUAGUGUUGCUGCAGCCAGCAGAGUUGAGGGAAGGAAGAGCCAAUGGAGCAUGGAGUCGGGCACCCUGAGGUCCCUGAGGCUCAGGGAGACAUUUCUGGCUCCCUGGGGCAUGCAGGGGGGCUCUCGGAUGAGCUGGUUGGAGGCUGGCCAGAUGGUUGUGCCCAGGGGGCAAAGUGCCAACUGAACCCCCAUGCUUCCUGGCGGAGAGGCAGGCUUUGUCACAAGUAGUUGGUUCUGUACCCACCCAGUGUAUGGAUCUCCCUUGCAGGGGUCCCGAUGGCACCUCUCCUCUGCAGAGAUGCUGGGCUUCAGCAGAUCUUAGGAAUGACUGUUUAACAAAAACAAAAACAACAAUGUAAAAUUCUGCUCCCCAUGGCUUCCUGCAUUCACGCAUGUCUCUACCAGCUGUCUGGCUGCAUGUUUGUGCGGUGUACACCUAAACUGAUCAGCCCAUUGCCAUGAUCUUUUGGCCACUGAUCUCCUGAGAAGUGUCACCCACAUCUGUCUGGUUGGCUAGCAGGGAGUAUACACAGAAGGCUCACAACUUUGGAUUGAAUUCUGGGGUGAGAGUCAGGCUGUUCUACCAGAAGGCAGGGAGCAGCCAUCUGGGAAGGAGGCUUGCCAGUCUGUGGGCAGGGCUCAGCCUCUGCUUGGAGCUGGACAGAGAAGAGGCUCAGGACAUGAGGCCAGGAUGGAGGGGCCUGGCUGUGCUCACACUCCUCACAAAGCCCUGGGGUACAAUCCCCAGGCAAAGGAUGAUCCCAUGUGUGCGUGUGUCCCAAAUCCCAAGUGCACAGGACCAGAAAGUGCUCAGCACCCCUGUGGGAGAUCCCUGCAUGCUGGAAAGUUCUUGCCCUGCUCUGACAGACAGAGGCCUUAUGGAACCCGAGUAUGGAGGGGCAACAGGAGAGGAAGGACUCGGAUGGGAGUCUUCAGGGCGGUUGGAACAUCUGGGGUUGUCUGAGGAUGUAAACAGGUCUGUGCACUCACCACAGGGUGGCUCCACUCAGGUGAGCAGGCUGACUGCCCUCAAGGUCCUGGCUGUGUGGCCUUGAGAAAUUUUGCUCAUCUCUCUAUGUUGUUUGUUUAUCUGUGAAACAUGGAUGCUGCAUGUGUGGAAAUGUGGCAAGAAUCCAGAGCCCAAGCUCCUAGUGCAGCGGGGUCCCCAGGAAAAUGCGCAUCCCUGUCAGCCGUCACCUCCCACUGCACUCCCCAGAGGCUGCUGUCUUCUCCGCCCCACAGACCCCUUGUUGUGCCCCUGGGACCUCCACCCUGCACAGUCCCUCUUCAGGUCAGCCUGUGGAGGAAGCUGCUUGGAGCUAGUGCCACACUGAGCACAGGCAGAAUGCUGUUGGGAUGGGGAGAAGGGGCAGGAAUUUCAGAUCACGAAUGCCACCUAGAUCAGAACCAGUGGGUGACACCCAGAACUCUGCCUCCCCUCUCAGCCAUGGACCCUUUGACCACGGCAGGUCCCCACCUCCUGCCUCCUUUCUCAUUCUCAGUGGCUCUGACUCUUGUCCUUUGUGGUGUGGUCUUGGCUGAAUAACUUUGCCCCUCUGGGCUUCCAUGACCCCACAUGGAGUCCAUAGUGACAAUGCACCCAUCCUGGAGGCAGGCUGCAGCUUACACAGGUGUCGGCGCUCACUGCCAGGUGGCCCCUCUCCUAGGUGUGCCUCACAGAUGGAGCCUUUCCACUUACACUGUGGGCUGCAAGUGAGGUGAGCAGACAGAGAAGCUGGACAGUCCGGGGCCAUCACCCUUAGAACUAGGACAGUUGAGGUACCAAUCCGGGAAGUAGGACUCCAGACUUGUUCUUCUCAAGAGGCCCUUUCUGGAGCAAGAGUGUCGUUCCAUGCCUCAGGGCUGGCCAAAGGCCCUGCUCCCCAGAGAGCCCCCAGCCCAGGGGCUGUGCCUUGCUGAGGGUCUGUUACAGCGUCUGCGGGAAGAGCAGCAGUGCCCAAGGUUUGAUGGCAGUAUAUGGUAGAGACUGUGUUAACUCUGAGAAAGCUCAUCUUCCUCCUUAGGAGAAACUGCAGUGCCAGGGGGCUGACGCCACUUCCCAAUCCCCUCUGCCAGGGCCUAUGCCCCUGAUCAGGGUUUUCCCCUGGCCCCUUCACUGGCUCCAGGCCUGGAGAGGGAGGAGAGCCCCUGGCCUUUGCAUAUGUACUCUGAGAGGCACCCUGCAUGUCACAGAGCUAGGCUGCUCUCUGCCAUGAGCCCAGCAGAAUGCCCCUCCCAGACCAUGGCUGUCAGUCUCACCCUCCAC
Molecule: long non-coding RNA, 5236 nt
Filed under: Sus scrofa (pig)
Lineage: Eukaryota; Metazoa; Chordata; Mammalia; Artiodactyla; Suidae
Description: lncRNA (ENSSSCG00000054765.1)
Source: RNAcentral